UACAGGGGGUGCAAACGUUGCUCGGAAUUAUUGGGCGUAAAGCGCGCGUAGGCGGCCACUUAAGUCGGAUGUGAAAGCCCCUGGCUCAACUGGGGAAGUGCACCCGAAACUGAGCGGCUAGAGUACGAAAGAGGGUCGCGGAAUUCCCGGUGUAGAGGUGAAAUUCGUAGAUAUCGGGAGGAACACCGGUGGCGAAGGCGGCGACCUGGGUCGAUACUGACGCUGAGGCGCGAAAGCGUGGGGAGCAAACAGG
RNAcentral lists this ribosomal RNA (253 nucleotides) under uncultured bacterium. RNAcentral describes it as "partial 16S ribosomal RNA". It matches the Rfam family "Bacterial small subunit ribosomal RNA", at positions 524 to 776 of the family's 1533-position model. The record is from RNAcentral.